GGAGGCGUGGCUGAGUGGUUUAAGGCACUGGUUUCGAAAACCAGCGUCGGAGAAAUCCGACCGUGAGUUCAAAUCCCACCGCCUCCGCCA
This 90-nucleotide transfer RNA is filed under the name Minisyncoccota bacterium. RNAcentral's name for it is "tRNA-Ser". It matches the Rfam family "tRNA". From Rfam's summary of the family: Transfer RNA (tRNA) molecules are approximately 80 nucleotides in length. Their secondary structure includes four short double-helical elements and three loops (D, anti-codon, and T loops). Further hydrogen bonds mediate the characteristic L-shaped molecular structure. tRNAs have two regions of fundamental functional importance: the anti-codon, which is responsible for specific mRNA codon recognition, and the 3' end, to which the tRNAs corresponding amino acid is attached (by aminoacyl-tRNA synthetases). tRNAs cope with the degeneracy of the genetic code in two manners: having more than one tRNA (with a specific anti-codon) for a particular amino acid; and 'wobble' base-pairing, i.e. permitting non-standard base-pairing at the 3rd anti-codon position. The record is from RNAcentral. Lineage: Bacteria; Bacillati; Minisyncoccota.